This is a non-coding RNA of Miniopterus natalensis, 270 nucleotides long. NCBI's taxonomy places the organism in Eukaryota, Metazoa, Chordata, Mammalia, Chiroptera, Miniopteridae. The record is from RefSeq and is a predicted model, not a curated record.
UCCUGCUCUGGAAUGCAGGCUCUUCAAGAGCAAGUGAAGCGUCCUGCCAGCUUGCUCGCCACCAUGUGCCUGGCACACUGCCCAGCGCGUUGCAGGUGCACAAUAAUCAUUUGUUGAAUUAAGGAAGCAACGUAUUAUGAAAAUAUCUGGUGUAGUCUGCUGGCAUUCUGAUUUUCCAAGGACUUACGUAAACCUGUCCAGAAUCAUCUUGGCCCUAAGGAUGGAGGUCUACUACUCCACACACUCAGUGAAGACCAUGGAAAAGGCAUG